GACGAACGCUGGCGGCGUGCUUAACACAUGCAAGUCGAACGGAAAGGCCCUGCUUUUGUGGGGUGCUCGAGUGGCGAACGGGUGAGUAACACGUGAGUAACCUGCCCUUGACUUUGGGAUAACUUCAGGAAACUGGGGCUAAUACCGGAUAGGAGCUCCUGCUGCAUGGUGGGGGUUGGAAAGUUUCGGCGGUUGGGGAUGGACUCGCGGCUUAUCAGCUUGUUGGUGGGGUAGUGGCUUACCAAGGCUUUGACGGGUAGCCGGCCUGAGAGGGUGGCCGGCCACAUUGGGACUGAGAUACGGACCAGACUCCUACGGGAGGCAGCAGUGGGGAAUAUUGCACAAUGGGGGGAAGCCUGAUGCAGCAACGCCGCGUGCGGGAUGACGGCCUUCGGGUUGUAAACCGCUUUCGCCUGUGACGAAGCGUGAGUGACGGUAAUGGGUAAAGAAGCACCGGCUAACUACGUG
RNAcentral lists this ribosomal RNA (468 nucleotides) under uncultured bacterium. RNAcentral describes it as "partial 16S ribosomal RNA". It matches the Rfam family "Bacterial small subunit ribosomal RNA", at positions 28 to 507 of the family's 1533-position model. The record is from RNAcentral.